RNAcentral lists this ribosomal RNA (357 nucleotides) under Triticum aestivum (bread wheat). RNAcentral's name for it is "partial small subunit ribosomal RNA". Lineage: Eukaryota; Viridiplantae; Streptophyta; Magnoliopsida; Poales; Poaceae. The record is from RNAcentral.
AUGACGCUCAUCAGCUGGAGCUGUCGAGGAAUUGGGCAGCCUCGCACAGUUCGUGCGCUUGUGGGCCUAGUGCACACACAUAAGCCUAAAUUAGUUUUCCUGUCAGAGACUCGGAAAAGUGAUGAUUAUGUGAAUAAAUUAAGAUGGAGGUUGGGCCUCCGGUGUUGUAUUGUGCAGCCCGGCAUCGGUAAGAGUGCCGGUAUUGCACUUUUUUAUGAUGAGGGUGUUGAAAUAAAGGAAAUUGCUGUUGGACCGAGGUAUAUCGAUGUGCUCAUUCGUUUAAACCCUAAUGGUAUGCAAUGGAGAGGCACAUUUGUAUACGGUGAGCCCAAAUCACAUGAAAGAUACCACAUGUAG